AACCCUCGGGAUUGUAAUUUGAAGAUUUGGCAUUGGAGAAAGCUAACCCAAGUUGCUUGGAAUAGUACGUCAUAGAGGGUGACAACCCCGUCUGGCUAACCGUUCUCCAUGUAUUGCCUUAUCAAAGAGUCGAGUUGUUUGGGAAUGCAGCUCAAAGUGGGUGGUAAACUCCAUCUAAAGCUAAAUACUGGUGAGAGACCGAUAGCGAACAAGUACUGUGAAGGAAAGGUGAAAAGAACUUUGAAAAGAGAGUGAAAUAGUAUGUGAAAUUGUUGAUAGGGAAGGAAAUGAGUGGAGAGUGGCCGAGGUUUCAGCCGCCCCUCGUGGGCGGUGUACUGCCGACGCCGAGUCAUCGAUAGCGAGACGAGGGUUACAAAUGGGAGCGCCUUCGGGCGUUCUCCCCUAACCCUCCACACUGCCACCGACGACAUAAUCCACCCAUUUCACCCGUCUUGAAAC
RNAcentral lists this ribosomal RNA (459 nucleotides) under Yarrowia lipolytica. RNAcentral's name for it is "eukaryotic LSU rRNA". It matches the Rfam family "Eukaryotic large subunit ribosomal RNA", at positions 132 to 660 of the family's 3401-position model. Lineage: Eukaryota; Fungi; Ascomycota; Dipodascomycetes; Dipodascales. The record is from RNAcentral.